This is a long non-coding RNA of Alosa alosa (allis shad), 284 nucleotides long. RefSeq lists it as uncharacterized. The record is from RefSeq and is a predicted model, not a curated record. Lineage: Eukaryota; Metazoa; Chordata; Actinopteri; Clupeiformes; Clupeidae. The transcript has 3 exons.
UACCUGCUGCCUCCUGGAUCUGCAGGACGUGCAUGUCUUCCACCGGGGCCGCUGGGGCCACAUCUGAUAAAGAUUACAGGACAGGGCCAUUUUCAGGCUGGCUAUAAGGAGUUCAAUAUUUCAGCAAAAUGGAUUUUGAGAAUAUGAGGAAAAGAACUGGGUCAGUCUCCAAGGAGAGCCUUCAGGAUACACACGGCAAGAUAAUGGAAUUCAUCACCUAUUCUGAGGGCUCCGCCGUGUUAACACAGCUUACCACUCUCAGGCAGAAUAAAGUUCAUGAUUUA